This 122-nucleotide transfer RNA is filed under the name Orchesella cincta. It matches the Rfam family "tRNA". Rfam says of the family: Transfer RNA (tRNA) molecules are approximately 80 nucleotides in length. Their secondary structure includes four short double-helical elements and three loops (D, anti-codon, and T loops). Further hydrogen bonds mediate the characteristic L-shaped molecular structure. tRNAs have two regions of fundamental functional importance: the anti-codon, which is responsible for specific mRNA codon recognition, and the 3' end, to which the tRNAs corresponding amino acid is attached (by aminoacyl-tRNA synthetases). tRNAs cope with the degeneracy of the genetic code in two manners: having more than one tRNA (with a specific anti-codon) for a particular amino acid; and 'wobble' base-pairing, i.e. permitting non-standard base-pairing at the 3rd anti-codon position. Lineage: Eukaryota; Metazoa; Arthropoda; Collembola; Entomobryomorpha; Orchesellidae. The record is from Rfam by way of RNAcentral.
GACAGAGUGGCGGAGCGGUCUAACGCGUUAGACUCAAGCGAAAGCUUGCCACUGCAAUCAGUGGCCAACUCGAGUAUUCUAAUCCUCGAAUGAGGGCGUGAGUUCGAAUCUCACCUCUGUCA